AUUGAACGCUGGCGGCAGGCCUAACACAUGCAAGUCGAACGGAGUGGCGGACGGGUGAGUAAUGUCUGGGAAACUGCCUGAUGGGGGGGGGUUACUACUGGAAACGGUAUCUAAUACCGCAUUCUAUCAGAUGAGCCUAGGUCGGAUUAGCUAGUUGGUGGGUGAAAGGCCUACAAAGGCGACGAUCCGUAACUGGUCUGAGAGGCUGAGCAGUAACACUGGAAUUGAGACAGGGUCCAGACUCCUAAGGGAGGAAGCAGUGGGGAAUAUUGGACAAGGGGGGAAAGCUGGAUCCAGCCAUGCCGGGUGUGUGAAGCAGGUCUUCGGAUUGUAAAGCACUUUAAGCGGGGAGGCGUUACCAACAGAAUAAGCACCGGCUAACUUCGUGCCAGCAGCCGCGGUAAUUC
Molecule: ribosomal RNA, 407 nt
Filed under: uncultured bacterium
Lineage: Bacteria
Description: partial 16S ribosomal RNA
Rfam family: Bacterial small subunit ribosomal RNA
Source: RNAcentral